AUGCAUACCCCCAAAAAAGAAAUGUAACAAGAUGCUUAAAUUGCUGACUGUUGUGUGUGAUAUCGAUUGGGCUCAUUGAUGCUGCAUUAUCUAAGACUAAAUUGGCAUCAACUUUUUUUCCCUCUGACUCCUGAAGAUUUUGUGUUCUUUUUAAUUGUUGGAGGAAGGUCAGCACAAAGUGUACCCUCUGGCUUUUAAUCUUAGAAAUGUCCUAAAUGAACAGAAAACUGCACGUCAGCGAAAUGAACUCUUGCUGAAAGCAAUGUGUAGGCUUCUCAUGUUUUGCGUUUGUGAUGACACAAGCUUUGACCUUGGCAUGUAUCUUUUUGAAAGAAGAAUCACAUUUGUUCCCUUCAGCCUAAUAGCAAUGUUGAUGGCAGAAACUGUGCACUUGCAUGAACAGCAGCUCCUGACCUACUGCAAUUAGUAGCCCUGGUUGAAGAAAGGCUUUAAUAUUGAAGUGCUGUUCUCUUGUAAUAUCUCAGCGUAAGGUUCCCAGCUUCUGUCUUUCUGCAGUCAAAAUGGAAGUGCAGCAGCAGUAUGCUCCUCUCUUUCUCAGUCACUGAGAUGGCCAUGCCUGUUUCCCUGGAAAUAGCACUGAAGCUGAGGCCCUGCAGAUCAGCUCCUGUGUGCUCUGAUCUGAACCUGCCGACCCCAGCCAGAAUUCACCGUGCCAGAUCUUUGGUCACAUCACCUGACACCAGGCUCCUCAGAUGGAUUGGCUGCAAUGGUAAUCAAGAGAAGAAGACCAUAAUAUUAUCCACAUGAAAUCUGGGGAAAGAGAAAAGGUGUGUUUUGGAAACCUGGUAUCCUUAUAAAUUUAUUGAAGAUGGAUUGAAAAGCAAGGAAAGAAGAAAAAAAAAUAUUAUUUAGAGGCAAUAUUCUUAGCUGGUGAUGCCAUUCCUAGCCCAGCUAACGAGGGAAUUACACUGUCCUUAGGUUUCUGACAUGUGUUGCUCUUGUGUUUUGCUCAUACAUAUGUAAACUUAGCAAAUAGCGCAGAAAUUUCAGUGGAAGCUGUAACAACUCUGCAGUGCUUCUUGGACUGGUUCAAGGCUUCUCAGCAGAGCAGACAAAAUUGUAUUUUCUGAUCCAAGCCUGAGGGCUGGAAGCACAAGUGGGACAGCGGGUAGGUCUGAAAAACUGGGUCAUGGACUCACACUCCCUGGGGAGGCUGGAGGGAGCCGGGAGGCUGUGACUGCUCUCCAGCGUCAGAGAAACCUGUGUUUGUCCACUUCAUUUGGGCCAGGAGCCGCCCUUUUGUAAGUAGGUGAGAACAAUCUGUCCACCAUUAAAGUUCAGUCUUGAUUGCUAUUAUCUGCAGGGUGACUGAAGUCAGGCAGCUUCUGUAGAGAUGCUUGUCUUUUCCCAUUUUUUAGCAGCUGUAUCUGGUGUUUUGUUGUGUGUGCCCGGUCUCUGAACUGUUCCACCUAUUUUCAGCCUUUUUGAGUUGAAGCAUCUUUUCUUCAUAGUAUUUAUUGUCUUGCUGAGAUAGGGAACAUCCCUUAAGAGGUUUAGGAUGAUAGACGUGCAUGAUGGUAAAUCUUCCUGCUGCUGUGGAAUGGUAGUUGUGCAGUGGUGGAUGCUGGCUGAUAUGUAGUGUUGCUGCCCACAGCCAGGAAAAAGAACAUCCAGAAGGUAACAAAAACAUUCUUCUUUUCUCAAGUGGAUUUCACGAAGGUCUGAAAAUGAUCACUUUUUAAUGUUCUUCUACAUUGGACAUGUACUCUUCCCAGGGCUUGCAUUCAAAUUUUAAUUCUUGCAACAUAGUUAUAAGUGAAAAUGGUUAUUUCCAUACCUUCUAUCUCUGAGCAGGUGAAUAUGUUAGCCUCUUUAGGAAUAUUUUACAUAUUUUUCUCUUUCUGAAUCAUGUUUAUAAUGCACUUCAAUGAGCAAGGUUUCCCAGUGUUAGCUGCAUAGGGAUUUAUGCAGAAUUUAAGAUUUAAAUGUAUUUAUUUUAUUUUCCUCUUGUUGCUCUCAUGACUUGAUAUGUAAUGGCUCACAAAGGAGACCAGGUGCAAAGUGUCCAUAGACAGCAGGUGGCGUUUGGGCUCUCAAAUCCACAGGGAAAUGUUCUGUUAUCCCCUGUUAGCAUAAGAAGUUUCAUGGCUGAUGUAAAGUAACACAAAGGUUCAGAUGACAAUCAGAUUCACAGAUGCUGUUUCUAGAAAGACAAAUUGCAAAGGACUCUUGAAGAUGCUAAACUUGCAUAGUAGUUGUCUAUAAUGUGAUUUGGAAACUUUAGUGAAGAGAAUAGCAGAGCGAGCUAUUAAAAUUCAGUUUUACAGCCAACAGGAAAGGUAUCAUGAGCUGGCAUUUGAUUCUGCUCUCUUUUGUUCUUGUUUUGCUUAAUUAAAGAGCACAAAACUAACCUGAAAAUGUCUGUACAAGUACAACAUACAUCUAUUUCCAGGGUUUAUCUGCAGUAAUGUUAAGAUAGAAGAUUUUUUCUUUAUUAUUAUCUUUUUGCAGACGACUUUUAUCUAAUAAAUAUAAUGAAGGCAGCA
RNAcentral lists this long non-coding RNA (2507 nucleotides) under Anas platyrhynchos platyrhynchos (common mallard). RNAcentral describes it as "lncRNA (ENSAPLG00000018954.1)". Lineage: Eukaryota; Metazoa; Chordata; Aves; Anseriformes; Anatidae. The record is from RNAcentral.